RNAcentral lists this ribosomal RNA (253 nucleotides) under uncultured bacterium. RNAcentral's name for it is "partial 16S ribosomal RNA". It matches the Rfam family "Bacterial small subunit ribosomal RNA", at positions 524 to 776 of the family's 1533-position model. The record is from RNAcentral.
UACGAGGGGGGCGAGCGUUGUUCGGAAUUAUUGGGCGUAAAGGGUGCGUAGGCGGUUUUGUAAGUCUUAUGUGAAAUCUAUGGGCUCAACUCAUAGACUGCAUGAGAAACUGCAGGGCUUGAGUAUGGGAGAGGUGAGUGGAAUUCCUGGUGUAGCGGUGAAAUGCGUAGAGAUCGGGAGGAACACCGGUGGCGAAGGCGGGUCUCUGGGCAUCUCCUGACGCUGAGGCGCGAAAGCGUGGGGAGCAAACGGG